Molecule: non-coding RNA, 677 nt
Organism: Camellia sinensis
Lineage: Eukaryota; Viridiplantae; Streptophyta; Magnoliopsida; Ericales; Theaceae
Source: RefSeq, a predicted model, not a curated record
CCCCCCGGGGGGGGGGGGGGGAGGAGGAAUCUUUAGAUAAAACCACCAUCACCAUCAUGAAUCAAGUCAUUGUGAAACAUAUCAGUUCAAUACAUUCCUCUAUUGUGUGAUCAGGACACAAAAGUGGAUGGUGACCCCGAGCUUCUGGAUGACUCUGAAUUUUACCAGCAGCUACUGAAAGAAUUUUUUGAGACAUUUGACCCAGCAUCAUCUGAGUCUACCUUUUAUGCUCUCAAGGGAAUGCAAACUAAGAAAAGGAAGAUUGUUGAUCGACGUGCCUCAAAGUGUCGCAAGAUCAGGUAUAAUGUACAUGAAAAGAUUGUCAAUUUCAUGGCGCCUCAGCCCGUGCAGGUUCCUCCCAUGGCCCCCAAGUUAUUUGAAAAUUUGUUCGGCCUCAAAACCCAGAAACCCGUCUCUGUGGUGUAGCACAACCUGAUGAUAAUAGGGCUUCGAAUUUUUGUGAUCUUACUUGAUAUAAUUGCUCAUUGAUGUGAUGUAUCCAAUUUUGUUUUGUUAUGUUUUUUUCACUGCCACAUGUCGAAUGUUUUUUUAUUAGGAUGCUUUUUUGGUUCAGUAUUUUUUGUUUUCAUGUAGACCCAACAUCUGAUAGGUACAUUGUGGGAAUAAACAGUGAAAAUUAAUCAGAAAUAAAUAUAAAUAUUUUUUUUCUGUACAAA